GUCAGGGUCUUUAAAAUUUAAUAAAAAAAAAACAUUUAAAAAGAAUAUCACUAUAUUGACUAGCAUGCAAACUGUAGACAACACCAUCAUAUGUUGUUUAUUUUUUUCUGCAUGAUAGUACAUUUAUAAUAUGUGAUAUUACUUUCCAUUUGCCACACAGGCUAUAUAGUGAGGGUAGAGGUGAAGGCUUACUUUUAUACAAUGCCUAGGUUUCCCUUUAAAUUAAUGGGAGAUACUGUAGAUAUAGAGCUUCAACUGGCUUGAAAUCAAUGUCAUAGAAGCCACUUCAGCUCCCUUUCAUUUCUAUAAAAGAAACAAUGCAAAUGGGAAAGGGAAUUAGCCCAGAACUACAGCCACUUUAUCAUUGUGAAUUAAGUAACAGGAGGAAGGUCAUGACCUUGGAGGAGGAGGGAGGGGGGAAGACUUGCAGAAGUGAACUUUUCAUAUUAACUAUUAGCUUUAAAAUAUAACUUAAAUUUUGAAAUUCACUUAGACUUCUCAAAGUGGCUAAACUGAAAACCUAGCGUUCAGUUUUACUAUUUUGUUUUUACAUUUACUUUGAAUUCUCACAUUAGUAAAUAAUCCUGUAAGUGUUAAAUACUUUUAUGCAGAAUCCACAUAAUGUAUCACUUUAGAAGCAGAAAACAUGUACAAUUAAAUUGUUAGCAGGUUUUUGUCUCCACACCCUGACUCCUCUCCUGCAACUGUCAAAAACAACCUACUGAGCCCUCAGUGAAUACAUUUCUAGCAACCUACUUCAUUACCCCUACUUUUACCCUUUGUGUCACUAUACCCCACUCCCCCUAGCAUGUAUGAUCAUUGAGCAGGGCCCUCCACCUCUCUGUUCCUGUGCAUCAAACUUGUUGGUUACAAAUAAGUGUCUGUUAGUCCACCCAUUUUACAGCGUUACGGAAUUCGCUGAUGCUAUAUAAAUAAAAUAAUAAUCUGACAUUUACUACAAUCUACUAGUAAGAAAAACUGAAACCAAAUUUAAUUUUGUUUUAUUUAUUGAUUUUUUUUUAGUUACAUGUGUGUAUCAACUUUAAAACGUGGUGCUUGGUAGGAGAACCAUAUCUUAUUCUCCGUGUUCAUGUCUAGGAAUAAUUCUGCAGUAACAAUUAACUUUUUUUUCUUGACAAGAUGUACACCACUAUUGAUCUGGGAGUAUUGAUUUCCUAAUAGGAGGUGUUUAUUUAUCUUUUUAUUAUUUAGAAUUGGAUCUGAAAAGGCAGUGUUUGCAUGAAAAUGCCUGAAGGGAAUGAUUAUACUCAUCAGAACAAAUCCAUUACAUUGUACUUGUUUUGGUGACUAUAGUGUCCCUUUAAGAUAAGCACAGCUAUAAUGAUGUUUUCAGUAAAGUUAGUGAGGUUUGCAUUACUUCUAUCCAUUUUUGUCUCCUCUCUCGUUCUUUGUGACCUUUUCCUUUCACACUCAGGUGUUUUGUGGUUUUUUAUAGAAUGGCUCCAUUUUCACCUUUCAAAAAUCAGAUAUAACCUGUGUUAAAGGACCACUUUAGGCACCCAGACCACUUCAGCUCAAUGAAGUGGUCUGGGUGCCAGGUCCCUCUAGUGUUAACCCUGCAGCUGUAAACAUAGCAAUUUCAGAGAAACUGCUAUGUUUAUACUAAGGGUAAUCCAGCCUCUAGUGUCUGUCUCACUGACAGCCAAUAGAGUCACUUCCGCGCUUCUCAAUGUGAAAAUCACAGUGAGAAAACACUGACCGUCCAUAGGAAAGCAUUGAGAAAUGCUUUCCUAUUGGCGGUUUGAAUGCGUGCAUUCUGCACUGACGUCGGCAGGAGGAGGAGAGUUCCCCAGCGCCGAAAGGAGCCGGGCACUGGAGAAAGGUAAGUGUUUUAACCCCUUCAGCCCAGCGGGAGUGGGACCCUGAGGGUGGGGGGACGGACCUAAAGACCCUAUAGUGCCAGGAAAAAGAGUUUGUUUUCCUGGCACUAUAGUGGUCCUUUAACUGUGGUCUUUGCUUCACUGCCUUUAGACUUCCCAGUUCUGCAUGUUUUGUUAAAAAGGAGCAGUUCACGUAUUGAUACAUGGCUUCUAUGCUGUGCAACUAUGCUCAGACUACUCAAAAUUAAAAAAACAUCCUUUUACAUUUUUAACACAUUAUCUCUAUAAUGCAUGAGGGGUCACUGUACAUUUGAGUCUAUUUAAAAUCACUACAUACAUCUGUUAUGGGAGAAGAGUGGAUGGCAAUCAUUUAUUUCAUUAAUUCACUAAAGAUGACCAGUGGUUUUCUGGAUUACAUAAACCACUAGUUGAGAUUUCUCAGUUAUGGCAUUAUCGGUGUUGACGUUGGAGGGCAUCUUAAAUGAUGACUGUGAAAAAAAACACAAACAAAAACUUUCUAAGUUCCCAUUUUUUUUUAUUUUUGCACCCAACAGAUCCUAAUAUCUACAGCAUUGCCAGCCUUUGCUCAUUCGUUUACGGGCUGAACUGCUUAAGCAAACGUAGAAUACUUUCAUUAGAUAUCACAGCACUCCAGCCUCUGCAAACAAGUGUUCAAUUAUUAUUUGUUUUAGACCAUGCUAAUCAUUUAUAUUUUCCAUUUCAACAUUAACAUUUUUUUACAGAAUAUACAAUUUGUUAAAACAGAUCUUCAUAAAAAGACAUCACAACAUAAGGAAUAAGUACAGAACAAUACUAACUUCUUCCCUGAUAAUUAUGACCCAUAUUUUGAAGCCUCAAAUAUUCAUUUUAAUCAUAAAACUUGCACAUAUAUUUUAAUCCUUUAAACAGAACCAAAUACACCAAGGAGCUUCUUCUCUCCCACAAUUAUAUCCAUUAAGUCUGAUAUAGAUAUACAUAUAUAUAUAUCUAUAUCAGACUUAAUGGAUAUAAUUGUGGGAGAG
Molecule: long non-coding RNA, 2863 nt
Filed under: Pelobates cultripes (western spadefoot toad)
Lineage: Eukaryota; Metazoa; Chordata; Amphibia; Anura; Pelobatidae
Source: RNAcentral